CUGGGCAUCUGUGGGCAUCUUACCGGACAGUGCUGGAUUUCUCGGCUCGACUCUAACACUGUCUGGUAACGAUGUUCAAAGGUGACCCGC
Dipodomys ordii (Ord's kangaroo rat) is the source of this 90-nucleotide microRNA precursor. Ensembl annotates it as microRNA 200a. Its record names the gene Mir200a. NCBI's taxonomy places the organism in Eukaryota, Metazoa, Chordata, Mammalia, Rodentia, Heteromyidae. The record is from Ensembl.